This 1372-nucleotide ribosomal RNA is filed under the name uncultured bacterium. RNAcentral describes it as "bacterial SSU rRNA". It matches the Rfam family "Bacterial small subunit ribosomal RNA", at positions 28 to 1381 of the family's 1533-position model. The record is from RNAcentral.
GAUGAACGCUGGCGGCGUGCCUAAUACAUGCAAGUCGAGCGAACGGACGAGAAGCUUGCUUCUCUGAUGUUAGCGGCGGACGGGUGAGUAACACGUGGAUAACCUACCUAUAAGACUGGGAUAACUUCGGGAAACCGGAGCUAAUACCGGAUAAUAUUUUGAACCGCAUGGUUCAAAAGUGAAAGACGGUCUUGCUGUCACUUAUAGAUGGAUCCGCGCUGCAUUAGCUAGUUGGUAAGGUAACGGCUUACCAAGGCAACGAUGCAUAGCCGACCUGAGAGGGUGAUCGGCCACACUGGAACUGAGACACGGUCCAGACUCCUACGGGAGGCAGCAGUAGGGAAUCUUCCGCAAUGGGCGAAAGCCUGACGGAGCAACGCCGCGUGAGUGAUGAAGGUCUUCGGAUCGUAAAACUCUGUUAUUAGGGAAGAACAUAUGUGUAAGUAACUGUGCACAUCUUGACGGUACCUAAUCAGAAAGCCACGGCUAACUACGUGCCAGCAGCCGCGGUAAUACGUAGGUGGCAAGCGUUAUCCGGAAUUAUUGGGCGUAAAGCGCGCGUAGGCGGUUUUUUAAGUCUGAUGUGAAAGCCCACGGCUCAACCGUGGAGGGUCAUUGGAAACUAGAAAACUUGAGUGCAGAAGAGGAAAGUGGAAUUCCAUGUGUAGCGGUGAAAUGCGCAGAGAUAUGGAGGAACACCAGUGGCGAAGGCGACUUUCUGGUCUGUAACCGACGCUGAUGUGCGAAAGCGUGGGGAUCAAACAGGAUUAGAUACCCUGGUAGUCCACGCCGUAAACGAUGAGUGCUAAGUGUUAGGGGGUUUCCGCCCCUUAGUGCUGCAGCUAACGCAUUAAGCACUCCGCCUGGGGAGUACGACCGCAAGAUUGAAACUCAAAGGAAUUGACGGGGACCCGCACAAGCGGUGGAGCAUGUGGUUUAAUUCGAAGCAACGCGAAGAACCUUACCAAAUCUUGACAUCCUUUGACAACUCUAGAGAUAGAGCCUUCCCCUUCGGGGGACAAAGUGACAGGUGGUGCAUGGUUGUCGUCAGCUCGUGUCGUGAGAUGUUGGGUUAAGUCCCGCAACGAGCGCAACCCUUAAGCUUAGUUGCCAUCAUUAAGUUGGGCACUCUAAGUUGACUGCCGGUGACAAACCGGAGGAAGGUGGGGAUGACGUCAAAUCAUCAUGCCCCUUAUGAUUUGGGCUACACACGUGCUACAAUGGACAAUACAAAGGGCAGCGAAACCGCGAGGUCAAGCAAAUCCCAUAAAGUUGUUCUCAGUUCGGAUUGUAGUCUGCAACUCGACUACAUGAAGCUGGAAUCGCUAGUAAUCGUAGAUCAGCAUGCUACGGUGAAUACGUUCCCGGGUCU